This 253-nucleotide ribosomal RNA is filed under the name uncultured bacterium. RNAcentral's name for it is "partial 16S ribosomal RNA". It matches the Rfam family "Bacterial small subunit ribosomal RNA", at positions 524 to 776 of the family's 1533-position model. The record is from RNAcentral.
UACGGGGGGGGCAAGCGUUGUUCGGAAUUACUGGGCGUAAAGGGCUCGUAGGUGGCCAACUAAGUCCGACGUGAAAUCCCAAGGCUUAACCUUGGAACUGCGUCGGAUACUGGAUGGCUUGAAUUCGGGAGAGGGAUGCAGAAUUCCAGGUGUAGCGGUGAAAUGCGUAGAUAUCUGGAGGAAUACCGGUGGCGAAGGCGGCAUCCUGGACCGACAUUGACGCUGAGGAGCGAAAGCUAGGGGAGCAAACGGG